This 200-nucleotide long non-coding RNA is filed under the name Panax ginseng (ginseng). RNAcentral's name for it is "long non-coding RNA (PGIN_LNC008917)". Lineage: Eukaryota; Viridiplantae; Streptophyta; Magnoliopsida; Apiales; Araliaceae. The record is from RNAcentral.
UUUAACUUCUCGAACCUUGGAUGUUCCUUCAUAACUCACCACUAGAGUGUCCCAAAUUUCCUUAGUUGUGUUGCGUGAGGAAACUUUAUUGAUCUCGGAUUGUACCAUGCCGCUAAGUAAUGUGUUCAUGACCCUUAAGCACCUAUGCUUCCUUGAACCUGUUUAUAAACAACCCUUAAUCCACUAGGAUUAAAUUUCUU